AUAGGAGGUCCAGCCUGCCCAGUGACUACGGGUUCAACGGCCGCGGUAUUUUGACCGUGCAAAGGUAGCGCAAUCACUUGUCUCUUAAAUAGAGACCUGUAUGAAUGGCUAGACGAGGGCUUAACUGUCUCCCCCCUCCAGUCAGUGAAAUUGAUCUAUCCGUGCAGAAGCGGGUAUAAUUAUACAAGACGAGAAGACCCUUUGGAGCUUAAGGUACAAAAUUUAACCACGUUAAACGACUCUGUAGAAAGCAAGAACUUAGUGGCGAAUGAAGUUUUACCUUCGGUUGGGGCGACCACGGAGGAGAAAGAAGCCUCCGAGUGGAAUGGGUUAAACCCCAAAGCUAAGAGAUACAUCUCUAAGCCGCAGGACAUCUGACCAAAAAUGAUCCGACUGAUAAAGCCGAUCAACGAACCAAGUUACCCUAGGGAUAACAGCGCAAUCCUCUCCCAGAGUCCAUAUCGACGAGGGGGUUUACGACCUCGAUGUUGGAUCAGGACAUCCUAAUGGUGCAGCCGCUAUUAAGGGUUCGUUUGUUCAACGAUUAAAGUCC
RNAcentral lists this ribosomal RNA (553 nucleotides) under Scardinius erythrophthalmus (rudd). RNAcentral's name for it is "partial 16S ribosomal RNA". It matches the Rfam family "Bacterial large subunit ribosomal RNA", at positions 1845 to 2596 of the family's 2925-position model. Lineage: Eukaryota; Metazoa; Chordata; Actinopteri; Cypriniformes; Leuciscidae. The record is from RNAcentral.